This 73-nucleotide transfer RNA is filed under the name Cordylochernes scorpioides. RNAcentral's name for it is "tRNA-Thr". It matches the Rfam family "tRNA". From Rfam's summary of the family: Transfer RNA (tRNA) molecules are approximately 80 nucleotides in length. The record is from RNAcentral. Lineage: Eukaryota; Metazoa; Arthropoda; Arachnida; Pseudoscorpiones; Chernetidae.
UUCGGGGUAGCCUAGAGGACAUGGCAUCUGCCCAGUAAGCGGAACAUUACGAGUUCGAUUCCCAUCCCUGGAC